RNAcentral lists this ribosomal RNA (478 nucleotides) under uncultured bacterium. RNAcentral describes it as "partial 16S ribosomal RNA". It matches the Rfam family "Bacterial small subunit ribosomal RNA", at positions 28 to 507 of the family's 1533-position model. The record is from RNAcentral.
GAUGAACGCUGGAGGCGUGCUUAACACAUGCGAGUCGAACGGGAAUUAUUUUAUUGAAACUUCGGUCGAUUUAAUUUAAUUCUAGUGGCGAACGGGUGAGUAACGCGUGGGUAACCUGCCUUAUACAGGGGGAUAACAGUCAGAAAUGGCUGCUAAUACCGCAUAAGCGCACAGAGCUGCAUGGCUCAGUGUGAAAAACUCCGGUGGUAUAAGAUGGACCCGCGUUGGAUUAGCUGGUUGGUGGGGUAACGGCCCACCAAGGCGACGAUCCAUAGCCGGCCUGAGAGGGUGAACGGCCACAUUGGGACUGAGACACGGCCCAGACUCCUACGGGAGGCAGCAGUGGGGAAUAUUGCACAAUGGGGGAAACCCUGAUGCAGCGACGCCGCGUGAAGGAAGAAGUAUCUCGGUAUGUAAACUUCUAUCAGCAGGGAAGAUAGUGACGGUACCUGACUAAGAAGCCCCGGCUAACUACGUG